CGCCUGUUUAUCAAAAACAUUGCUUUUUGAAAAAUAUAAAAAGUACAACCUGCCCCAUGAAUAUAUUAAAUGGCCAUAGUAUUUAUGACUAUGCAAAGGUAGCAUAAUCAUUUGUCUUAUAAAUUAAGACUGGAAUGAAUGGAUUAAUGAGGUAAAGCUUUCUUAAGUUAAAAAUUAAAAGUAAUUUUUCUGGUGAAGAAACCAGAAUAAAAUUGAGGGACGAGAAGACCCUAUUAAGCUUAAAUAUAUUUAUUUUGUUGGGGAAACAAAAGAGAAAUUUUUCUUUAUAUAAUUUUGCUGAUAAGUUUUUUGAUUCAUAAAUUAUGAUGAUAGAAUAAGUUACUAUAGGGAUAACAGCAUAAUUUUUUUUGAAAGCUCUUAUUUACAAAGAAGAUUAUGACCUCGAUGUUGGAUUAAAAAUAUUAUAUGAUGUAGUUGUUGUAUAAAUUAGUCUGUUCGACUAUUAAAUUUUUACAUGAUCUGAGUUCAAA
This 491-nucleotide ribosomal RNA is filed under the name Peripatidae gen. 1 OYHL-2019 sp. OHL30. RNAcentral describes it as "partial large subunit ribosomal RNA". It matches the Rfam family "Bacterial large subunit ribosomal RNA", at positions 1797 to 2615 of the family's 2925-position model. Lineage: Eukaryota; Metazoa; Onychophora; Udeonychophora; Euonychophora; Peripatidae. The record is from RNAcentral.